GUCCACGCCGUAAACGAUGUGUGCUAGACGUCGGGCAGCUUGCUGUUCGGUGUCGCAGCUAACGCGUUAAGCACACCGCCUGGGGAGUACGGCCGCAAGGCUAAAACUCAAAGGAAUUGACGGGGGCCCGCACAAGCGGUGGAGCAUGUGGUUUAAUUCGAUGCAACGCGAAGAACCUUACCAGCCCUUGACAUCCCGGUCGCGGUUUCCAGAGACGGAUUCCUUCAGUUCGGCUGGACCGGU
This 243-nucleotide ribosomal RNA is filed under the name uncultured bacterium. RNAcentral's name for it is "partial 16S ribosomal RNA". It matches the Rfam family "Bacterial small subunit ribosomal RNA", at positions 793 to 1032 of the family's 1533-position model. The record is from RNAcentral.